RNAcentral lists this ribosomal RNA (439 nucleotides) under uncultured bacterium. RNAcentral describes it as "bacterial SSU rRNA". It matches the Rfam family "Bacterial small subunit ribosomal RNA", at positions 249 to 677 of the family's 1533-position model. The record is from RNAcentral.
UUGGCGAGGUAAUGACUCACCAAGGCUAAGACGGGUAGCUGGUCUAAGAGGAUGGUCAGCCACACUGGGACUGAGACACGGCCCAGAGUCCUACGGGAUGCAGCAGUCAGGAAUAUUGCGCAAUGGAGGAAACUCUGACGCAGCGACGCCGCGUGGGUGAUGAAGGCCUUCGGGUCGUAAAGCCCUGUCGGAAGGGAAGAAAAGCUUGCUGGCUAAUAUCCAGCGAGCCUUUGACGGUACCUUCAAAGGAAGCACCGGCUAACUCCGUGCCAGCAGCCGCGGUAAGACGGAGGGUGCAAGCGUUGUUCGGAUUGACUGGGCGUAAAGGGCGUGUAGGCGGUUCGUUAAGUCGGGUGUGAAAGCCCGGGGCUCAGCUCCGGAAGUGCGCCCGAAACUGGCGAGCUGGAGCGCGGUAGAGGAGGGUGGAAUUCCUGGUGUA